RNAcentral lists this long non-coding RNA (10695 nucleotides) under Lynx pardinus (Iberian lynx). The stretch from base 6054 to 6124 matches the Rfam family "mir-124 microRNA precursor family". The record is from RNAcentral. Lineage: Eukaryota; Metazoa; Chordata; Mammalia; Carnivora; Felidae.
ACGGCAAUGAGCGUCUUUCCUUGGGCUGCGUGUGCAGAGCUUAGACAAUGAAAAUCUCCAUCCCCCUCCCCCAUCCCCGCUAGGCUACAAGAUUUCUGUUGUCGUUCCUUCUCAACGGUGGAAGAUGUGCAAAAUCAAACCUAUAGAGAUGUGUAUAUAUUUUUUCACAAACAAACCAAACGGGCUGAGACGCGGAUUACCCAAACGCGCACCGGCUGUAAGUACUAUCUUUUCCUACGUUAGCCGUGCUCUGCGUCGCUGGCUGGGUCGGGAGUGUUCGCUUUGUGAGUCCGAGCGCGCGGGUUGUGUUUUGGUGUUUUUAUUCACAGGGGCUUCCUCGAAGCUUGCACUUUCUGCACGUGAGCGGGUGAAGCGUUUCGCCCGUGGUGGGCGUGCAGAACAAGGCACUGGCAGUCUUGGAUGCGGCGACUUGGAGCAGCGGGCGGGGGGCGUCGGGAGGCGCGGAGCGCAGGGGUUCCCGCGUUGCGAGCAUCCUUGGGAGCCUCCCGCCGGGCUCCGGGCUGCAAGGUUGGUUCCUGGCACUGGAUGGAAAUCAGGUCAUGGAGAUCCCUAAGUUCCAGCAUUACCAGACGUGCAUGGGAGACAGGAUGGAACUGGAAGGAGAAAUCUGAGGAGGAGGGAGGGGAUGCGAGCACCCUCGGCCUAGAAUGGAGUCCUGGGCCGCCGCGGGCCGGGCCCCUCGGCUUGCGGAACUUAGUCUGGCCGGGUUUGGCUGCUAUCUAGCAUCGCGCCUUUGGUGGGUCUUGUAGCUACAUCUCAUACAAAGGCUCUUCUUGUGACAAGGGCUGAGUGAGGGUGGCAGAGUGUGUCUCAGGGCGCCCAAGCGGGGGGAAUUGUGGUUCUGGGGGAGGUAUUUUUUUUUGGCCUCUUGAAAAUGUACAAGAAUUCCGCGGGCCCACGCUUUCUUUGUGUGCCGGGCAGCGCCAAGCGCUUUGUGCUUCACAAGGAGAAAAUGGCGAGUCCUAUUGUGUUUAGGCCAUUUUCUUCCGGUACAAGGAUUUUCCCAAGUUCUAAACACUUCUUCGGAAAGUAUAUGGUCUUAUCGUGCCCGGGAAAGUGUGAAUCGCUGAAGUUCGGCCCCGUGGCCUGGCGUGGGUACCGGCCUGUUUAGGCGAGAGCCUGUUUUCUUGCCGUUGGGUCACUUGCAUCAAAACAAAAAUAUGACCAGUUUGUGAAGGUCGGUGUCCUUCAAACAUUCGCAGCGGAUUUUGGGGAUUCGGAAGAUAAGCGUCUGUGUUUAUGUGUUUAGGUACAUGUAUAUAAAUAACAUACUUUUCCUGAUGAUCUGAAGAGGAAAAUAAAAGACGAAAGACAAUGAAAUGUUUGGAGAGAGGGGGAAAAGUUUUUUUUUUUCAUUAUUCUUUCACCCCCCUGGAAGAAACCCCAGGGGAGGUUAAAUGUUACUUUGGCAGGUCAGUCUUUUGUUUUUUCAAACGAAGGUGAAACGUUAUUUUGGACAGAGGGAAUUACUAGAUAGAUUUAACUACUAGAGUGUAUGCUUUCUUUGCUUCACUAGAAAAAAAAAAAAAUAUAUAUAUAUAUAGCAUGUUAGAUAAGGGAUUUAAUUUAAUGCUCUUAGUGCUAUGUGUGUGUGUGUGUGUGUGUGUGCGUGUGUGUGUGUGUGUGUGUGUGUGAUAUCUAUAGCUAUUUACAAAGAGAGAGUUGAGGUUUUGUUUUGGCUCUUUUUUUUUCUUCUCAAUUUGUCAUUUUGUAAAAAUUUCUGCACUUGUUAAGCCAUUUGUAAAAGUAGAUGAGGAUGCCCAGACAAGGAUGUCUAUGUCACUUUUCUUUUAAGAAAAAAAAAAAAAGAAGGUUGAAAAAAAUACUGUUUUCUACUCACUACAAUUCUUUGGACCCCUAAAUGGGGUGGUGAUUUUGUCAGCUCAAAAAAUAAUGAAAUGCAAACUCUUCCCAUCUGUUUCCUGUACUCACAAUUUGGUGACAAAUAUGGAAAAAUUAAAACAACUGGAAUGGGGAAGAGAACUCAAAGCCUAGAGAUGUUUCUCCCUUUGACAUUAUCUUAAGAUGUUAUGGCAUUAAAUUGGUGCAGGAGCAUUGUGAUUUACAUUUUUCAAAAUGCAUCACUAGCGUCUCUCUUCCUGUGGAUCAAGACCAUGGACAGCGAACUAAUAUUAAAUCACUGAGCAAAAAGGACUCUAGUAAAAUUUUGUGAGAGCAGAAUGGAAGUUUAUAUUCAAAAUGUGUUGGGAGGCAAAAGCAAUUUUUUUUUCUUUUUAGAAAGAAUUAAGACUUUUAAAGUUUGGAAUUUCAAACUUUUUCUACCAAGUCUCAAGAAAAGAGUGAUUUAGAUAUGCUGUCUCAAAUAGUAUAUGUUCUUUACCCAAUGAAAAUGAGAUGAGGUCUACCUUUUGUUACUGGUAAAUAACAAAUUUAAAUCCAUCCCUCUAACAUGUGGGCUGUUUCUUAUAAGGCCCUGAAGCAAAGUGAGUAUAGAAAAAUUUUACUAUUUUAGGCUGGUAUUACCUGAAUGACACUAAAGCAAAUUAAGUUGAUUUUUAUCAGCGACUGAAUUUCUAAAUGCAUAGAAUUGGAAAAAUUAAAUGCCACUUUGAUAGACAGGAAUAAUAUGAAUGGAUAUAUAACCCAGCUACACCUUCUAGUCCUGUUUAGGCAUUGUAGUCUAUAACCAACAGGGCAAUGUUGUGGGCAAACAUUUUUUUUCCAAGAGUCACAGAUUUCAUGUGUGUGUGUGUGUGUAUGUGUGUGUGUGUGUGUGUGUGUGUGUAUCUGUGUAUACAUAUAUAUAUAGAUAGAUAGAUAUACACAGAUAUAUAUAUAUACUGAUUUGAUUUGGGGGCACAGGAUUGAUUCACUGAGGCUCUGUGUCAGAGAUCAAUUUACUUAGUUUCAUAUGGUAUUUGAAUUCCCUUUAUUCCUUUACAAAAUUGAACUUGACUUGAAACCAUUUCAUUCGUGAAUUACAUAACACAUUCAAAAUUGCUCAUUUAAAUUCCCAAUUUUAUGUGAUCUUUUGGCUUAUUUCAUAACCUGACUUCAGUGUGACCUGUAAAGGACUGGGAAAUCAUAUAAGCAGAAAUAAUAGGCAGGUUUGAGAAAUGGAAAUGGUUUCUAUUUAAAUUUAAAUUUUAAAAUGAUAUCAAAUUAAACAGAGUUUAGGGUCUAUGAAUUAAUUAUUGAUCUUUGAUUUGGCUGUAAAAUAAAAGUGCAGUCACCUGAAUGUACAAAAUCAGAUGAUAUAAACGUUUUAGACACACACACACACACACACACACACACACACACACACCUUUUUGUUUAGUUGUUUUUGGAAACCUUUUUCAAAGUAUUUGCAAAGAACGUGCAAUGAUCAGGACCAUGGUGAGGUCCCCGUGGCUCACCGAGAGGUGACUCGGGGCUCUGGUUGGUACACAGAGUUCGGUUGAGAACAGGUCAUUGUUUAGAAAGGUACAUUCGUCCGGGAUGGCACUCGUGAUAAGAUUAAGCAUAAACCUAAACCUUGGCCUGGGGAAAGGAUGGCGGCAGGGGCGAGGAGAAGAGAUGCGGAUAAACCCUGCUCUGUUGCUUGCGCACAUAAUUAAAAGGCCGCCCCUCAUCUGGAGCGUGGGCUCUGUCCGGCCUAAGGUGCUUAUUCUAUAGUUACUUGGCCAACCAUGUGUGAGUGAACAAGAGCCCAAGAGCUUAGAAUUAAGGAUCUAGAUGAAAUGUCCAAGAGGUGUCGACUCUUGUCUCCAUUUUAGGGAGAGGCAACCGAAAAUGGUGACUUUGGCUUGCCUUGAGCAAGCGUGAGCAUUGAUGGGAGGGCUGUGAGGAAGGGCCAGAGAGACUGGGGGCGCGACGUCUUAGGAGGCUGUCUUUGGACCUCUGUGUUGGUGACAGGGGGGUAUAGGCAAGGGCAGGGCACUCGCCCUUUGCUGUACCCAGGCGCAGUUCUUGGGGGCUGAGCGCCUUCUGCGGCUCUUUGGUUUCAAGGACACAGCGAGCUGCUCAGGACUUUGGGAGCCAACAUCUGUCUGACUGGUGACGUCAGCAGCCCGUGUAAUCCUCUUGUGCUGAAGGCAGAUGCCUUAUUUGUUUGGCUGGAGCGAGCCAUUAAUCCCUAAUUCUGGAUCAGCAAGCGAGGGGGAAAGACCGGACCGCUCCGACCCACCCCCACCCACCCCCACCUCCCACCCUAAAGCACCUUAUACCACGGAAGCCUCUCAGCCUCCUCUUUCCUCCGCGAAGGCGCUCAACAGCAAUUGAAAACGCUUUGGUCCUCUCCAGGUUUGAUCAGAGCCAGUAGGUCUUUCUCCUUCGGAUUUCUAGGGCUAUGUGUAUAUGUAAUUCUUUCAUCGAUCGUUUCGAUUUUCUUGCUGGGACGCGCGGGUCUUGCAGUUUGCGGGGUCCUAAGCCAAGAAGGGGUGGGGAUUGGAGAGUGCGGAUGUAGAGUGUGGUCUGAGGGAAGGGGUGAGGCUGGGGCAAGGGAGCACAGAAUGCGGGAACUGCUGGACUGCGCCGGACGAUCUUCCGCGGNNNNNNNNNNNNNNNNNNNNNNNNNNNNNNNNNNNNNNNNNNNNNNNNNNNNNNNNNNNNNNNNNNNNNNNNNNNNNNNNNNNNNNNNNNNNNNNNNNNNNNNNNNNNNNNNNNNNNNNNNNNNNNNNNNNNNNNNNNNNNNNNNNNNNNNNNNNNNNNNNNNNNNNNNNNNNNNNNNNNNNNNNNNNNNNNNNNNNNNNNNNNNNNNNNNNNNNNNNNNNNNNNNNNNNNNNNNNNNNNNNNNNNNNNNNNNNNNNNNNNNNNNNNNNNNNNNNNNNNNNNNNNNNNNNNNNNNNNNNNNNNNNNNNNNNNNNNNNNNNNNNNNNNNNNNNNNNNNNNNNNNNNNNNNNNNNNNNNNNNNNNNNNNNNNNNNNNNNNNNNNNNNNNNNNNNNNNNNNNNNNNNUCCAGCCGCAGCCGGUAUCUACGCCGCCCAGGGACUGCGGUGGCUGAGGAUCCUCGCUUCCUCGGACGCAGGAGUCGGAGCGGGCCUUUCCCUUGGGCCGACCGCGCUGUAGGGGACGCCGCGAAAAGAGCCGCUGCGCCCGCCAGCUCCUGCCCGCUGCGCAGAGGGCUCCGCCCGUAGAGGUCAACUCCCCUCACCCCUUCCUCUCUCCUGCUCGCCCUCCCUCCGCCCGGCCCAGGUUCCUCCAGCCUCCAGACUCUUGCCGCAGUCUGAGGAGAGCGCGUCGGCUGCGCUGUUCUGAGCCAUAACCCCCAGCCGGGCCCAGACCCGAGGUCCGCGCUCCCAGGCAGUGGGGAAGCCUUAGCGAGCUGCCUUUUCUCUCUGCACCAAAGCUGUAGCCAGACCAGAUGGGCCGCCCAGCUCUCUCGGGACUAGGCAGGUGCGGUUGAGUUAAUUUUUCCGCAUUACAAAGAAAGACGACCCAGCCCGCCCUUGGCCUCUCAUCUCUUCCCCAAACCUCCCAACCGAAACCACGGUGACGUUAUCAGAGGACACAGAGCCUAGGCAUAUCUGCGAGACUCACUCACACACACACACACACACACACACACGCAUGAUUACUUUCCCUUCUAUACGCUAGAUCUCAUUCCCGACAGCAAGAAGUGACUGACAAAGCUUUCUGCACCAGAACAUGCAAUGGCGCGGUCCUUAAAACCUGCCAUCCCUUACAAGUGACUUAGAAGGGAUGCAGGGCGAACCAACUCCGUUAAUUGCCUUCAGGAAAAUAACACGAUUACGAAAUUAGAUCUGUACCAGGGGGGUAAUUAACUUCGAUCCACGCCGUCAUUUGAAAACUAGAUUUAUAGGGUAUGUAUGUUUUUAGGUGUGCUGUAAAUGGCAUGCAGAUAUAUGCAUAUGUAUACGCAGACACAUGCAUCGUCUACACUUCCACCGAACAGACUAAUUAGCAGCGGCUCUGGCAGCUGUGGCAGGAGGCGAGCUGAGACAGGAGCCCGGCUUAUGAGUUACGACUCUGGGGGAGUUGUAGGGACUCAGAGCUCGGCGUAGGGGGAAGGGCAAGAGAAGUGAUGUGUUCGCAGUGGGUCAGUUACUUUCCGGAUCAAGAUCAGACUCUGCCCUCCGUGUUCACAGCGGACCUUGAUUUAAUGUCAUACAAUUAAGGCACGCGGUGAAUGCCAAGAGCGGAGCCUAUGGCUGCACUUGAAGGACACCAGAGCGUCUCAGGACGAGAAAAGGGAAAAGGCAAUCACAAGGGGGUUUGAGGGGUAGUAGAACAAACCCAUCAUUUGCCGCAUACGGACCCUCAGACUGAUUCCAGAACCAACCUAGUGUUUCCAAAGCAAACCGGUCAUAGUUUUCGGUAAAAGCCUCGGAAAUCUGCUGGCGGAUUUUACGAGAGUUCGGUGACAGGAGCUUCAGCUGUCAGGAAAGCAGGAGUUCCAGUUUGUGCAGAUAUUCUAGAGUUGAACUGUUUAGAAAGCAGUGGAUCUUUAAGGAGCAAGUAGUGUGAUUGUUGGCGAUUCUGGGCCAAGCUGCCGAAACAAACAGAACAGAGAGGAUGAUAAUGUUAAAUGGUGCCCUCAUCACAUUGCGCAAGAAACCUCGAAUGGCUCAACUCCUUCGGGAAGCCCUCUACAACCACCACCACUGCCCUCUACCCGCCCCACCCCUUCUCCCUUUCUCUUCCUAGUAUCCAGUCGGCCUUGCCUGACUUUGAAAAGCCAAGAUAAUUUCCUUGUAUCGAGAUACUCUCAAUGGUCAAAUCAGUCAAAGGAGUAGGACAAGGGGAAAAGGCCAAGCCUGAAACUUUAGAAGGACUCUGCAAAUUAAUUUAUUUGGAAGCCAAUGAAGUGGACUUUGUUAAGGUAGUAGUUCCGCACCACGGCCUUGGAGCGAAAAACAAACCCAGAUUAAGAAAGCGAGCCUUGAUAGAUGUCUUUGUUCUGCCUUGGCCUGCAGGGGCUGGGAACAAAGGAGAGGAACUGAGAGAGGAUUCACCAAAGUGGCCGCGCCCUUAGCGCCUGGCGCUGUCCGCGGUGCUGACCUCGGCCCUCUUCUCUCUCCGUAAUUUAACCAAAAAGCAAUAGGACCCUCCCGCCCCCAUCCCGAAGAAUAACAGAAUAUUAGGUAAUUUGAGAAAGAAAAAAAAAUAAAGGCAGAGAAAUGCCGCACACGGCAAAACCUAAUAUUUUACCAAAAUAGUCCACUCUAGCUGUUGCCACACUUGACUUGCCCUUUACAGUCUUGGCGUAGUUACGUAGUUAGUGUAUGUACAUUGGGAAACAAUUCCACUUUAUUUAGACUGAAACCUGAAUCUAGCAAUGGGCGGGACUUGCAAGGAGAAUGAGGAGAAUGAAGGCUCUAUUUUUUCUUUCUUUCUUUCUUUCUUUCUUUCUUUCUUUCUUUCUUCUUUCUUUCUUUCUUUCUUUCAAGUCAUCUUCCUUAAAACAUACAAACUUAUGGUCUUCAGCUGCAUACCUAAAUAGUGCUAGUGUGGUCAGUAAAGGGACUCACAACGGACUCAAGUGUGGGCCUUGAGACUUACCAGAAAAGGACAGAAUGGGGACUCACUAGAUGAGACCAAGCAGGAGUCCACCCAGUCCCAUCCCCUCAGGCAGAAAGGGCAGCCUUCCUAGGUAGGUCCAGAGCCCCAAGCUCUGCAGACCUCUCUGAUGCGCGGAGCAAGCUCCGCGCUUCCUGGCCGGCGGGAGGCACUGCAGGCCAGAAAACGUGAAACCCGCACUGCGGAAAAACCAACUACAGCAUCCUUUUCCUCCUCAAAGCUGUCAGUUGCGAUUGGAAAAGGGCAGGGUGGCUUACCAAAUAGCAGGCAAUGAAGAUUUCCUUUAGGAGUCGAGGGGCGUAUGGGUCAGUAUUCAUACAUUCGAUAAAUCUUUUAUAUUGAGAACAUUAAAUAUAAAUAAUAAGAAUUUAAAUAUCUUAACUAAAUAAUCAAAGAGAGAUAGAGAAACAGGAAAUCAGCCAAUGUGUAACCAGCCUGAGGUCGCAAAAGAAAUUGCUACAUGCUUGUUUGUGUUUAUAAAUCCACAAACAUAAAAGAUGUUAAAACUAGAAAUAGAUAAUAGUAACAAUAGAUUAUAGACUUAUAGAUCUAUAAAAAUAGAAAUAGAUAACAAUCCAGACUGGGCAACAGAGGUGGCAACACCAAUUUUGAUCCAGGUAUAGAAAUGGGCCACAAAUGGGUCAUACAUUUCAUCGGAUUCAUUCUUUUACACCUGAAUGAUGGAGAUAUAUCAAAUGAUUCCAAAAAGAAAGUGGUAAAGCACCUAUUCUCAGGAGAUAGUCAUACUGCCUUCUCUCAGGGUGGAUUUUAUUUGUCCUCUGAUUUUAGAAUUCUGUGAAUUAGGCCUUUCAUGUCCAUUGAUGACUUAAAUUUCUAUUUCAUUUUAUAUAAUUUGAGAGGGAAUAGGUAAAACACACUAAAAAAGGGGGGGAUUACUUGAAUAAUAAAAGGAAAGUGUUUGGAAACAUUCCUCUUAUGCCCGUUAAGAGUAGUCAUUGGAAAUUGAAAUGAAUUUAAAGCAUCAGAUGUUAUCAUGGAAGCUUGAUUUCAUUCCAGGAUUCAUGCAAUUGUGCCGAUCUGCACCCACAUUCCCUCGGAUAUUUCAUGAAGCAACAAGGGUCCAAGGUUGCAAAAUAUUUCUGCCUGAAUUGUGUUAUAAUUCAUAUUACAUAAUAGAAACCCACCUAAUUCCCCUCACUCUAAUCCUUCCUGUUUAGGAAAUCUAAAUUCAUCCUCCAGAAAACUAAGUUUUUAAAUUACUUUCUAAACAGAGAUGAGAAACACGGUGUGAAAGAGAGAAGGUAAAAUACUGUUUAAAUAAGGGAACAUUUAGUGUUCUGGUUACAGCGAUUAAACCCAGAAUGGUUACUGAUCCGAAAUAUUUCUAGAUUUUUAAGACUAUUUUAUUUUCUACUUCUUUUAAAAGUAAUCAUCUGGUUUAAUGUCCAUCGCCAAUUUGACUGCUAUGAAAUUCAGUGCUCAGCAUUUUUUGCAAUAAAACAAUUUAAGCUUCGCAAUUGGAGAAUUUCGGCCUGGAGUGCCACGGGGGUCCUUUGACAAUCACAACUUUCAUUUAGUGGUCUGAAAUUAAAGCUUUUUAGAAUAAGUUGGGAGCAGCUUGACCCUUUGAAAUACUCAAUGACAACCCUCCAGGGAAAUAGCAUGUUUUCUUCCUGGGAAGGAGAUGCUAGCGCAGUGCACCAGGGAGUAAUACGCUGUCAACAAUGCCAGAGCGCCCUCUGCUGCCAGAAAGAGGCAAGACACUAGCUAAAAUAUCCAGAUGGCACUGAGUUGCUGGGUAAGCAGUGAAAACAUUAAGCUCUUAGAAACAUUUAAUCUGUGAAAUUUAAAAUCUCUGAUCAUAUUGUAUUUUUGAAGGGGCCACCUGAUUUUGAUUUUGAGAACUCCUUGAAUAAUUUUCUUAUAUUUCUUCAAGGUAGUGAAAGGUCAAAUGUUAUGAAGUUUCAGUCUGUCAAAUUAUUUCUGUAGUUACAUUUCUGUACUUUCUCUAAUUUUAUAUGAAAAUAUGAAAUUGCAGUUCGGAGUUAAAAAAUCUUUGUGCUGAAUAUAUGAGCAAAUAAUUCUUUUCCUAGUUUCUCUAUAUAACUAAGAUCUAAUAAAAAAAUUAGCUAAAGAUAUCAAUCAUAGAUUGUUACAUUUUUAAAAACUAAGGACAGAGGUAAAGAAUCAUUUUCUUAUUUUGAUAAUUAACCCAGAUUUUUCUCGAGCUUUAAGUCUAGGAAAAGAAAGUGAGUUAUGUUUGAGGAAGAAGUUGAAAAUUUUGCUUCACCCUAAUAUAUAUAUUCUUUUUACCCUUGAAAUUUUUGAAAUGAACUUAUAUCCAUGCUUAGCUUAGAAAGAUUUCAUUAGAAAAGAAUGCACUCUGACUAUAAACAAUCUGAUGUGGCUGCAGCACAGGCAAACUCAUAAAGAAGCAAUACCUGAAUUAAAAUUGAGUUUUUCAGUAUGGAGCAAUCUCUUUUCAAAUGAAAUUGGAGAGCAUUUUCUAAAAGGUUAAAAAUUCUUUUUGAUUUUUAUGUAUUACAGGGUUUGUAUUGAGUUUUAAAAUGUACAGCUGUAUUAAUUAAAUGUUGUGAAUCUCAAAAUUACAGCCUAUUUCUAAACACACACACACCUUUGCCAUGAAGACUAUGUUGAAUAUAUCAGUGCUAAUGUAAUAAAAUGCUUCUAUUAAUUAUGUGGUUGUUAAAUAAAUCUUGGAAAAUAAAGUUCUAUUUAUUUUAUGGUGUCAGAAUGAAAUAGAUAUCCAAUAUCACUUAUUUAAUCCUACUUUAAGUGAAAAUUCUUACAAGAAUUUGUAAGCUAUAAAAUUGCUGACAAUAUUAAACCAAAAUUUAAAAAAUUACAUAAUUUUAUAAUUUGCUAUAAGAGAAAAACUGUUGAUUAAAUAUUAAACUAAGUUAAAUAUUUGGCCAGUUAUGUAAAAUUCCAUAAAACUACAGGUACAUUUGUCUUCUGAAGCUAUUUCUCCAAAGAAUGUAUUUAUAAGUUUAUGGCAUAAUAAUAAAAAUAAAGAAAAUUUUUAGAGUUUUUAUACUUUCAUUCUAAGCAUUCUUUAAAAAAUUAAAUAUUAAAUUUAUUUUUGUUUAGUUUCCAUUUCUUUCUAAACAAAUUCAUAUUUAACUUAGGAGAGAAUUUACACAGUGAUGUAAUUUUUCUGUAUUCCUAACAGUUAUUAUAAUAAGUUUAAAACCAAAUUUUAAGUAAAUA